Small nuclear RNA from Hippopotamus amphibius kiboko, 107 nucleotides. NCBI's taxonomy places the organism in Eukaryota, Metazoa, Chordata, Mammalia, Artiodactyla, Hippopotamidae. The record is from RefSeq and is a predicted model, not a curated record.
GUGCUCAUUUAGGCAACAUGCAUACUGAAAUUGGAACUAUACAGAGAAGAUUGGCAUGGCCUCUGCACAAGGAUGACAUACAAAUUCAUGAAGCAUUCCAUACUUUU